GUUUAAAUGUUUUGAUUGACUGCUUGAUGGUCGUGUAGAGAUGGCAUGGGGCUAGUGUCAAUACUCAUGUCAGCUUAUUACUUGUUAAUUAAUGUAUAGCUGGUGCUUGGUGGUCAACUGGCUUUUGAGAGUCUUGGUUUUGGGUGCCUGUGUUAGGACAGGCAGAAGGCAUAUCUAAAUGGGCUGGGAGCUUACAUUUUGUUGAUUAACUCUGAAACAAUCAGUUAUGCUCUCUCCCCCCUCCCUACUCCUCCUCUAUUGAUUUGGUGUUAUACAAUUUCUUUGUUGUGGCAGAUAUGUGCAUGGGGAUGUAAAAC
RNAcentral lists this unclassified non-coding RNA (317 nucleotides) under Hevea brasiliensis (rubber tree). Lineage: Eukaryota; Viridiplantae; Streptophyta; Magnoliopsida; Malpighiales; Euphorbiaceae. The record is from RNAcentral.